UCAGGUGAUCCUCCCAUCUCAGCCUCCCAAGUAGCUGGGACUACAGGUUGCUUCUUCCAGAUCCCUUUUGAUCUACUUUCAGCUAUGGAUUCAUGAGAAUCAAGACUAAGCAGCCUGAAUUGAAGGAGUAACAGUAUCACCUAACAAUGAUUUUGCUGCCAUAGUAGCUGUUUGUAUACUGGCCAUAUGCCUAGGUAAAAUGAGGCCAGAUCACUCUCAAGAGUUUUCUAUCAGAGUUGGUGGUGAACUACUGCUCACGGAUAAUGACGAGAAACCCCAGCUGAGGAGGCAAAUAUACUCAAGGAAAGUAAUAGUUUCCAAAUGCCUGGCAGUGCCAGGAAGGGGCCAUGUCCAUGGACCACUAUGUAAGGAUAUCUCAGUCUCUAGUCCAGCGUGGUUUAUGGUGCCAAAUAAGUGCCAGGUGAACUCACUACAUCUGACAAAAUCUCAAGGAACCAAGUUUACCAGAUAAUAUUUAUGAUUAUGUGAAAAAGACUGAGGAAAUCACUCAAGUGAUCCAUCAUACAGCACCUCCAGUUCCAAAGAAUACUGACUUACUUCAGGUGAUAACACUCUACCAUUUUUAAGUUUUUCAUCCACAUUGUGUCUGCGUUUCUGGAGCUGAUCCUUUUCUUUCUGGAGGACUUCAACUUGUUCUGAAAUCUUUGUUUUCUCCUCAGCUGUACUGGUCUGGAGCUGCACAUUCUUUUCAGACAACUCUUGUUCCAGUAAGUUCAGGUGACUCUUCUCCUGUAACAGAGCCUCCUUCUUAGAAACUAUGGCCUCCCGUUUCUUUAAGUCUGCUUCCAGCUCCUCUAAUUCUUGGCGUUGGU
This 833-nucleotide long non-coding RNA is filed under the name Homo sapiens (human). RNAcentral describes it as "novel transcript, antisense to KIF27". Lineage: Eukaryota; Metazoa; Chordata; Mammalia; Primates; Hominidae. The record is from RNAcentral.